Molecule: ribosomal RNA, 2944 nt
Filed under: Fusobacterium polymorphum
Lineage: Bacteria; Fusobacteriati; Fusobacteriota; Fusobacteriia; Fusobacteriales; Fusobacteriaceae
Description: bacterial LSU rRNA
Rfam family: Bacterial large subunit ribosomal RNA
Source: RNAcentral
GUCAAAAAAAUAGGUUAAAAUAAUUAAGGGCACACAAAGGAUGCCUAGGUAGUAAGAGCCGAUGAAGGACGUGGUAAGCUGCGAUAAGCCUAGAUAAGUUGCAAUCGAACGUAAGAGUCUAGGAUUUCCGAAUGGAGCAAUCUAUUAAGAUGGAGUCUUAAUACGAAAGAGGGAACCGCGUGAACUGAAACAUCUAAGUAACGCGAGGAAAAGAAAGUAAAAACGAUACCCAAAGUAGCGGCGAGCGAAAUGGGUCAAGCCUAAACCUUAAAUAUGUCAAGGAUACAGCCGUUGUAUUUAAGGGGUUGAGGGACAGAGUAAUGAAGAACUGUAAGAUAUUCAAUAUAGUGUAUUGAUAAACUAGAAUAGUCUGGAAAGGUUAACCGUAGAAGGUGAAAGUCCUGUAUAGGUAAAUCCUUACACAUAUAACUUUGCUCCCAAGUAACAUGGAACACGAGGAAUUCUGUGUGAAUCAGUGAGGACCAUAUCUCAUAAGGCUAAAUACUCUUACUAACCGAUAGCGCAUAGUACCGUGAGGGAAAGGUGAAAAGAACCCCUGGAGGGGAGUGAAAUAGAACCUGAAAUUGUGUGCUUACAAGCGGUCAGAGCCCAUUUGGGUGAUGGCGUGCCUUUUGGAGAAUGAUCCUGCGAGUUACGUUAAACGGCGAGGUUAAGUAUAACGGAGCCGAAGGGAAACCAAGUCUUAAUAGGGCGAUUUAGUCGUUUGGCGUAGACGCGAAACCUGGUGAUCUAAACCUGUCCAGGAUGAAGCUGUGGUAAGACACAGUGGAGGUCCUAACCCACCGCCGUUGAAAAGUUGGGGGAUGAGGUAGGUUUAGGGGUGAAAAGCCAAUCGAACCAGGAGAUAGCUCGUUCUCUCCGAAAUGCAUCUAGGUGCAGCCUUGAGUGUUCAAUUAUGGGGGUAGAGCACUGAAUGAUCUAGGGGGCAUAUUGCUUACUGAAAUCAAUCAAACUCCGAAUACCAUAAUUUAUAGCUCAGGAGUGAGACUAUGGGAGUUAACUUCCAUUGUCAAAAGGGAAACAACCCAGACCACCAGCUAAGGUCCCUAAUUAUAACUAAGUGGGAAAGGAGGUGGAGAUUCACAAACAACUAGGAGGUUGGCUUAGAAGCAGCCAUACCUUUAAAGAGUGCGUAAUAGCUCACUAGUCGAGAGUCUCUGCGCCGACAAUGUAACGGGGCUAAGUUAUAAACCGAAGCUGUGGAAUCCGUAAGGAUUGGUAGGAGAGCGUUCUGUAGGCCGUUGAAGAAGAAGGGUAACCGACUUUGGAGGUAUCAGAAGUGAGAAUGCAGGAAUAAGUAGCGAGAAAGGGGGCGAGAAUCCCCCUCGCCGGAAGACCAAGGUUUUCAGGGUAAAGCUUGUCUUCCCUGAGUAAGCCGGGACCUAAGCCCAGGCUAUAAUGCGUAGGCGAAUGGAAAACAGAUUAAUAUUUCUGUGCCAGUCAUUUAUUGUGAUGGAGGGACGCAGAAGGGUAUGCGCGCGGACGAUCGGUUGUGUCCGUAGAAGUAUGUAGGGUGACUUAGUAGGUAAAUCCAUUAAGUUAUAUCUGAGGUAUGAUAUACAGUCGUAAGAUGAAUGCGCAAAUCCCACGCUGCCAAGAAAAGCUUCUAACGUUAAUAUAUGACUGCCCGUACUGUAAACCGACACAGGUGGUCAGGAUGAGAAAUCUAAGGCGGACAGGCUAACUCUCGUUAAGGAACUCUGCAAAAUAACCUCGUAACUUCGGGAGAAGAGGAGCCCUUGGGUGUUAGUAUCCGUGCGAUACAAAGCGCUCGAGGGUCGCAGUGAAGAGGCUCAAGCAACUGUUUAACAAAAACACAGGUCUAUGCUAAGCUGGAAGGCGAUGUAUAUGGGCUGACACCUGCCCAGUGCUGGAAGGUUAAGAGGAGGAGUGAGAGCUCCGAAUUGAAGCCCCAGUGAACGGCGGCCGUAACUAUAACGGUCCUAAGGUAGCGAAAUUCCUUGUCGGGUAAGUUCCGACCUGCACGAAUGGUGUAAUGAUUUGAGCGCUGUCUUGACGGGAGGCCUGGUGAAAUUGUAUUACCGGUGAAGAUACCGGUUACCUACAGUAGGACGGAAAGACCCCAUGGAGCUUUACUGUAGCUUGGUAUUGGGUUUUGGCAUUGCAUGUAUAGGAUAGUUGGGAGACUAUGAUGAUAUGGCGCUAGCUGUAUCGGAGUCAUCGGUGGAAUACCAACCAUUCAAUGCUGAAAUUCUAAUCUGUGGUUUGUAGCCACGGAGACAGUGCUAGGUGGGCAGUUUGACUGGGGCGGUCGCCUCCGAAAGAGUAACGGAGGCGUUCAAAGGUUCUCUCAGGUUGGAUGGAAAUCAACCAUAGAGUGCAAUGGCAUAAGAGAGCUUGACUGCAAGACUGACGGGUCGAGCAGAUGCGAAAGCAGGACAUAGUGAUCCGGCGAUUCCGAAUGGAAGGGUCGUCGCUCAACGGAUAAAAGCUACCCUGGGGAUAACAGGCUGAUCCUACCCGAGAGUCCAUAUCGACGGUAGGGUUUGGCACCUCGAUGUCGGCUCAUCGCAUCCUGGGGCUGGAGAAGGUCCCAAGGGUUGGGCUGUUCGCCCAUUAAAGCGGUACGUGAGCUGGGUUCAGAACGUCGUGAGACAGUUCGGUCCCUAUCCACUGUAGGCGUUAGAAUAUUGAGAAGACCUGUCCUUAGUACGAGAGGACCGGGAUGGACAAACCUCUGAUGUACCAGUUGUCACGCCAGUGGCACAGCUGGGUAGUCACGUUUGGAAUAGAUAACCGCUGAAAGCAUCUAAGCGGGAAACUAACUUCAAGAUAAGUAUUCUUUAAGAUACCUUCGAGCCUAGGAGGUUGAUAGGUUGGGGGUGUAAGUACAGCAAUGUAUUUAGCUGACCAAUACUAAUUAUCAAAGUUUUAAUCUAAUUUGUUUUUACUAUAUAGUUUC